UGGUGGGUUGCCUUGUCAGGUUGAUUCCGGUAACGAACGAGACCUCAGCCUGCUAAAUAGUUACUUCUACUUUGGUAGAAGGCGAACUUCUUAGAGGGACUAUUGGCGUUUAGCCAAUGGAAGUGUGAGGCAAUAACA
This 138-nucleotide ribosomal RNA is filed under the name uncultured eukaryote. RNAcentral describes it as "partial 18S ribosomal RNA". It matches the Rfam family "Eukaryotic small subunit ribosomal RNA", at positions 1299 to 1458 of the family's 1831-position model. The record is from RNAcentral.